AGCCUUAAUUGAUAGUACCUAUACUACUGGUGGUGGUGGUACUAGCUGUUGUUGUUGUAGGUAGUAUUACAUUUGAUAACAAACCAAGAAGCUCACAGUUUUACAGACGUACAUCACAUAAAUCGGUCGUGUUCUUAACGUCGGAAGCAUCGGUGGCAUAUGGACGUUUCCAGGCAACGCUGCAUAUUGCAUGACAAAAUAUGCUAUCGAAUGUUUCACGGAUUCACUGCGUUAUGAGAUGUAUCCAUGGGGUGUUAAGGUAUCCCUUAUUAAACCGGGCCAGUAUGGUAAGGCAACUAACAUAGGCAUUAACUACAUCGAUCGUACGUCUGAUGAAAUAUGGUAUAAUGUAGAUGAAGACGAAAGACUACGGCAAAGAACAUUUUGACGCAUUUUCCAAGUUUUAUGAGGUAGCUCGUGACAUGUGUUAUGGAGACGAGACAUCUGUGGGGAACAGUAUGGUGAAUAGUACAACGUCACAAAAACCACGAAAUCGCUAUCUUGUUGGUGGUUGGUACAUGACUUAUUUUGAAGCCUUUUGGAUGAAAAUGCUUCCAUCGUGGCUAGGUGAUCGCCAGUUCAAUCGGUUGAUGGAGCGAUAUUUACCACUUCCAGCCCUCGUCCAAUCAAAAGGAUCCUAAGUAAUCACGUAAUAUUUAUCGUAAUGUUUUUGGUUUAUUUGUUUGACAAAAUAUACAUUCAGGACUAUAAAAUUUUAUUUGAAAAAAAAAACAACAUGUGGUUAGGCGAUCGUUAGUUUAAUCAGUGUAUAAUUUACCACUUCCAGCACUUGUCCAAUCAAAAGGAUCCGAAUUAACCACGUGACAUAUAUUUUAAAGUUUUUAUGUAUACAAAAAUAUAUCGUAGAAAAUUAUAUCCUUGUCCA
Molecule: long non-coding RNA, 886 nt
Organism: Anneissia japonica
Lineage: Eukaryota; Metazoa; Echinodermata; Crinoidea; Comatulida; Comatulidae
Exons: 3
Source: RefSeq, a predicted model, not a curated record